GGGUGAGUAACACGUAUGCAACCUGCCCCUGUCAGGGGGACAACCCGCCGAAAGGCGGGCUAAACCCGCGUACAUGCCACCGGGGCAUCCCGGAGGCAGGAAAGGCUUCGGCCGGACAGGGAUGGGCAUGCGGCGCAUUAGGCAGUAGGCGGGGUAACGGCCCACCUAACCGACGAUGCGUAGGGGUUCUGAGAGGAAGGUCCCCCACACUGGUACUGAGACACGGACCAGACUCCUACGGGAGGCAGCAGUGAGGAAUAUUGGUCAAUGGUCGGGAGACUGAGCCAGCCAAGCCGCGUGAGGGAUGAAGGUACAGAGUAUCGUAAACCUCUUUUGUCAGGGAACAAAGGCGGGGACGUGUCCCCGGAUGAGUGUACCUGAAGAAAAAGCAUCGGCUAACUCCGUGCCAGCAGCCGCGGUAAUACGGAGGAUGCGAGCGUUAUCCGGAUUUAUUGGGUUUAAAGGGUGCGCAGGCGGUCUGUUAAGUCAGCGGUCAAAGCCCGGGGCUCAACCCCGGCCCGCCGUUGAAACUGGCAGUCUCGAGUUGGAGAGAAGUAUGCGGAAUGCGCGGUGUAGCGGUGAAAUGCAUAGAUAUCGCGCAGAACUCCGAUUGCGAAGGCAGCAUGCCGGCUCCACACUGACGCUGAGGCACGAAAGCGUGGGUAUCGAACAGGAUUAGAUACCCUGGUAGUCCACGCAGUAAACGAUG
This 709-nucleotide ribosomal RNA is filed under the name uncultured bacterium. Its description in RNAcentral is "bacterial SSU rRNA". It matches the Rfam family "Bacterial small subunit ribosomal RNA", at positions 104 to 811 of the family's 1533-position model. The record is from RNAcentral.